Gorilla gorilla gorilla (western lowland gorilla) is the source of this 1333-nucleotide long non-coding RNA. RefSeq lists it as uncharacterized. The record is from RefSeq and is a predicted model, not a curated record. NCBI's taxonomy places the organism in Eukaryota, Metazoa, Chordata, Mammalia, Primates, Hominidae. The transcript has 4 exons.
UGAGGAUGUCUCAUAAUUGUUCCCAUAAGGUCCCAGAGUAAGAGUAAGCUCUACAAUGGCCCAACCUGGCAUGCAAGCUGUUCUGCCAACUGGACCAUGUGAUUCAGAAGACCUGAAGCUUGUUCUUGCUCUCCCCAUUUUACAUCUUGACUGCCUGCCCUGAGGACUUCCAGCUCCAGCAUCAGAUGCAGUGACAAUACCCUUACAGAGACUAGUAUUCAACCAGCAACCACAACUGCAUAAGGCAAGUUGAAGGGGGAGUGAGGAGUAACCAGGGAAAAGAAGCAGAUGAGGACACCAUUUACAAGGAUGCCUUGCCCUGGGAAUCCUCCCCACAGGAGUAAGAAGGGAGCUACCCUUUACAUAGCAUGUCUGAAGAGUAGUUCCCAAAUACUUGUUCUUGGACAUGGCAGAGCUGGAUGCCCAAGAAUCUCCUGGGAAACAUUAAUUACAAAAACCAAGCAAAACAGAACCCCUGGCUCCACAUUGAUUUGGAGGGGGUAAGAUGGGAUGCACCAAGGGUGUGGGUGGUAACCACUGAUAUGGAAAGCAUUGGUUUGCAUUGGUAGUUAGAUCAUUUGGGCUUUCUGGCAAUUCCCUGUUGUGUGACCUCAAGCAAAUCAAUCAAUUCCUCUGAGCUUCACGUUGAUUAUUUAGAAAGUGAUGAUGCUAUCAAUAAGUCCCACAUUAAAGAGUUAUCAUGAGAAUCAAAUGAGAUUAGGUAUGCAAAAGCACUUAUCAAUCUGUGAGUUGCCCUCCAAUUUUGGCUAAGCUUAGAUAUUUCAAUCCUAGCAAUAUUUGUGCUAAGUGGUGUGGGAGAUUAAAAAAAGAAUCAGAAUCUAGUUUGGGAGAAGUUUUCAACCUAACUGGAGAGAAAAGGUAUAAAUGAAAUGGUAUGCAUACUAAGCCACUAAAAAGCAUUUUCAGUGUGCACCAUGGGCUCUGCACUAGGGUAGAUUAUGUGGGUGAUUGAGAAGUAUAGUAUACAACAUGGAUACUCUUCCGAAAGGGCUCCCAGUUUUGGUGGAGAAAAGAGACUCCUCUAUAACAGCAAAUAACAAAAAGAUAAUAUAAUCAAAGUAACUGCUAAAUGUUAUGGUACAGCCUCUAAAAGGUUACUAAGGGAAGUUCUGAAGAAAGAACAAUAGGAAUUGCUGUAGUCCAGGAAAGGAGAGAACUUUAGCUGGGUCUAGAAGUUAAAACAGCAAAAGGAACAGAAAUAGGCUCAUUUGUCAGGGGAACAGCAAAAGCCAAGCAUAGAGGCAGGAAUGAUCAGGGUGUAUGCAGUACCAGAAAGGAGAUCAAACUGGCUAGAAUGGUGGGACAGAUUACA